AGGAUCAUUAUCGAAAUAAACUUGAACAGGCUGUUGCUGGCCCCAUGGGUAUGUGCACGCUUGUCAUCUUUAUCAUUUCUCCAACCUGUGCACACAAUGUAGACCUGAGGAGCCUUUUGAAUUCUAUUCGAGUGGGGGAUUGCAGUGCUUUUAUUUAAAACCACAAAAGUCUGCUUUCCCUUGAAUUUUUCAGGUCUAUGUCAUUUUUCUUUCACAACCAUGUUUAGAAUGUUGAAUCAGGUCUUUGUACCUAAAAAGUUAAUACAACUUUCAGCAACGGAUCUCUUGGCUCUCGCAUCGAUGAAGAACGCAGCGAAAUGCGAUAAGUAAUGUGAAUUGCAGAAUUCAGUGAAUCAUCGAAUCUUUGAACGCAUCUUGCGCUCCUUGGUAUUCCGAGGAGCAUGCCUGUUUGAGUGUCAUUUGACUUAUCAACCACAUCAUCUUUUUUUGAAGAUGUGGCUUGGAUGUGGGGGAAUUUAUAUUUUUGCGGGCUCAACAAAAGCCGGCUCCCCUGAAAUGCAUUAGUGGUAUCUGAGCUGCUAUUGGUGUGAUAAAUUAUCUAUGCCUUUGGUUUUGCUGGUCAGAGCUGCUUAUAACCACCCAAUCAUUUGACAAAUUUGACCUCAAAUCAGGU
Molecule: ribosomal RNA, 634 nt
Filed under: Inocybe armeniaca
Lineage: Eukaryota; Fungi; Basidiomycota; Agaricomycetes; Agaricales; Inocybaceae
Description: eukaryotic LSU rRNA
Rfam family: 5.8S ribosomal RNA (bases 266-419)
Source: RNAcentral